This 283-nucleotide ribosomal RNA is filed under the name uncultured bacterium. RNAcentral describes it as "partial 16S ribosomal RNA". It matches the Rfam family "Bacterial small subunit ribosomal RNA", at positions 337 to 616 of the family's 1533-position model. The record is from RNAcentral.
UCCUACGGGGCGCAGCAGUGAGGAAUAUUGGUCAAUGGGCGGAAGCCUGAACCAGCCAAGUCGCGUGAGGGACUAAGGCCCUACGGGUCGUAAACCUCUUUUGCCGGGGAUCAGUGCCCAGCUCGCGAGCUGGGAGGGAGCGUACCCGGAGAAAAAGCAUCGGCUAACUCCGUGCCAGCAGCCGCGGUAAUACGGAGGAUGCGAGCGUUAUCCGGAUUUAUUGGGUUUAAAGGGUGCGUAGGCGGAAUAUCAAGUCAGCGGUAAAAAUUCGGGGCUCAACCCC